ACUCUAAGGUGACUGCCGGCUAAAAGUACGGAGGAAGGUGGGGAGUGACGUCAAAUCAUCAUGCCCCUUAUGACCUGGGCUACACACGUGCUACAAUGGGCGGUACAAAGGGUCGCGAACCCGCGAGGGGGAGCCAAUCCCAAAAAGCCGCUCUCAGUUCGGAUUGCAGGCUGCAACUCGCCUGCAUGAAGCCGGAAUCGCUAGUAAUCGCGGAUCAGCAUGCCGCGGUGAAUACGUUCCCGGGCCUU
Molecule: ribosomal RNA, 248 nt
Filed under: uncultured Anoxybacillus sp.
Lineage: Bacteria; Bacillati; Bacillota; Bacilli; Caryophanales; Anoxybacillaceae
Description: partial 16S ribosomal RNA
Rfam family: Bacterial small subunit ribosomal RNA
Source: RNAcentral